This 220-nucleotide unclassified non-coding RNA is filed under the name uncultured soil eukaryote. RNAcentral's name for it is "sequence contains ITS2". The record is from RNAcentral.
AAUUCUCAACUACAUGGAUUCGUGUAGCUUGGAUUUGGGAGGGUUCAUUUCUGCUGGCUUGUGAAUCAAGUCGGCUCUCCUGAAAUACAUUAGCAGGGCAUAGCUUUGUAGAACGGGUCUAUAGGUGUGAUAAAUUUAUCUACGCCUUGGAUGUCUGCAUGACAAUGGUUUAUACUGCUUUUAAUGUCAUCUCUCGCUUGAGAGACAUUUAUUUGACAAU